Long non-coding RNA from Mus caroli (Ryukyu mouse), 303 nucleotides. RefSeq lists it as uncharacterized. The record is from RefSeq and is a predicted model, not a curated record. NCBI's taxonomy places the organism in Eukaryota, Metazoa, Chordata, Mammalia, Rodentia, Muridae.
AGGAGAACAAGGAACAAGACAUAAGACAAUUUCUGAGAUCUGCAGUAGAUUAAUGCACAUUUCAUUUUAUAACAAAGCUAACCAAAAGUUUUCUCCAAAAUUAAAUAUCUGAUUUUAUUUUCAAAAGACAACGUAUAUUUCUUCUUGAUCAACAUGUGGCUUCACUAGCUAUAGACCUUGAAAUGCAAAUCUCUGUUAUUCAGCAUAUUCAAAGAAGAUAAUCAAGAUUUGUCUGCACAGUUCUAAAGAAGAUGGCAAGAGAUAAAGAGAGGACCGAUGACACGGCACACCCAGAUGUCCUUG